CUCUCAUAGAUGUUCAUGGCCUUGCUGGCAACCGCNNNNNNNNNNNNNNNNNNNNNNNNNNGCCUCGAGGGGAAGCCUGCCACCCCGAGGCCUGCGGACCGCCAACAAGGAAUGACCAGAACCCAGGCGAGCCUGUUGCUAUUGUCAGCAAGGACACUGGCCGAGCAUCCCAGCGCCCCAGCUCCACCCAGCAGUGGGGGCUGCGGCUCCACCCAGAUGAUGUGAAAAGACAGUUGGACCUAGAACCAAAUUCCGGGACGGUUAUAUUUUGGGGUUGGGAAAUCCAUCCAAAAAACCCCUUUUCCCUGGUGCGUGUGAACUUUGGGGAGCAACGAUUAUGCCUCCGCAAGAGCCAGCAGAAAGCUCAAAGUCUCCACACCGCCAAGGCAGCUGUCUCAAACGUACACGUUAUUAAGCUGAUUGAAAUAAUCAGAAAACAGCUCCAGAAUGCUGGCUUGGAGAAAGGUUCAUUAACGAGGCCUGCGGGAAUGAGGAUUGGCUUGCCCACCGUGCUAACUGGACUGGAGGAAGAAAGAAAAGUCAGAAAAGAGAGAGCCAUGUUCAGCUGAACAGGCAGCUUUCCCAGAUCCUGCUGGCCCAGGCCUAGGGCCUGAGGUGGGUGCCCUGCCUACCCACUCAAGACGAAAGAACACUUAGGAAUCCUUGAUUGUGGGGACGCCUGGGUGGCGCAGUCAGUUAGGGGCCCGACUCUUGGUUUCGGCUCAGGUCAUCAUAUCAGGUCGUGGGAUCCAGCCCUGCGCUGGGCUCCACGCUCAGUGUGGAAUCUGUUU
RNAcentral lists this long non-coding RNA (791 nucleotides) under Ursus maritimus (polar bear). Its description in RNAcentral is "lncRNA (ENSUMAG00000017582.1)". Lineage: Eukaryota; Metazoa; Chordata; Mammalia; Carnivora; Ursidae. The record is from RNAcentral.